UAUGCAUUCGGCUCUUUCAGCCGACCAGUCAUUGUGUAUUUCAUUUAUUCGGCUCUUUCAGCCGACCAGUUACUGUGUACUUCUUCCAUUCGGCUCUUCUGCCGACAUUGAUCUCUGCACAGUUCAUACAUUCGGCUCAUCCAGCCGAACUGAUUCUACAGUAAACGUUUUUCGAACUCGGCUGAUCCAAUCCCUCGUCAGCCAAAUUGCUUGAUCCAAUCGAAGGGCGCAAACUUCAAGGGUCACUAAUCGUAGCCGUUCUGUAUCUCGACACGCUCCCCGAGGAGAAUCUUUGAUCGGGUUAAGGGUCGGGGAAUUCGGCUACCAACACAGAA
Molecule: long non-coding RNA, 335 nt
Filed under: Ananas comosus (pineapple)
Lineage: Eukaryota; Viridiplantae; Streptophyta; Magnoliopsida; Poales; Bromeliaceae
Description: long non-coding RNA (ACOM_LNC003101)
Source: RNAcentral